RNAcentral lists this ribosomal RNA (528 nucleotides) under uncultured bacterium. RNAcentral's name for it is "partial 16S ribosomal RNA". It matches the Rfam family "Bacterial small subunit ribosomal RNA", at positions 353 to 874 of the family's 1533-position model. The record is from RNAcentral.
UGGGGGAAUUUUUGGACAAUGGGCGAAAGCCUGAUCCAGCAAUGCCGCGUGUGUGAAGAAGGCCUUCGGGUUGUAAAGCACUUUUGUCCGGAAAGAAAUCCUCUGGGUUAAUACCUCGGGGGGAUGACGGUACCGGAAGAAUAAGCACCGGCUAACUACGUGCCAGCAGCCGCGGUAAUACGUAGGGUGCAAGCGUUAAUCGGAAUUACUGGGCGUAAAGCGUGCGCAGGCGGUUUUGUAAGACGGAUGUGAAAUCCCCGGGCUUAACCUGGGAACUGCAUUCGUGACUGCAAGGCUAGAGUAUGGCAGAGGGGGGUAGAAUUCCACGUGUAGCAGUGGAUGCGUAGAGAUGUGGAGGAAUACCGAUGGCGAAGGCAGCCCCCUGGGCCAAUACUGACGCUCAUGCACGAAAGCGUGGGGAGCAAACAGGAUUAGAUACCCUGGUAGUCCACGCCCUAAAACGAUGUCAACUAGUUGUUGGGGAUUCAUUUCCUUAGUAACGUAGCUAACGCGUGAAGUUGACCGCCU